Felis catus (domestic cat) is the source of this 3507-nucleotide long non-coding RNA. RefSeq lists it as uncharacterized. The record is from RefSeq and is a predicted model, not a curated record. The transcript is spliced from 2 exons. NCBI's taxonomy places the organism in Eukaryota, Metazoa, Chordata, Mammalia, Carnivora, Felidae.
AACCUGUAAAGGGAAGAUGACAUGAUAAUGAAAUUCAAUGGAAUAAAAGCCAGAAGUGAGGUGAGAAAUUCCAAAAGGCAAGCAGCACACACUUGGUAAUUUCUGGGGUGAUUAAUACUUCUAGAAAUGGAGUAACAAGUGGCCAAGCGGCAUUUCCAUCUUUGGGAAUGCUGAGACCAAGGAAAAUAAUUUCAGAGACUGAAGUAUAUACCAGUUCUCAGAAUGAGAUUCCUUGUUGAAAAACACUCUUUGUGGACCAAAGAAGCAAAGACAUUUUCACAAGUGCUAAAGCUAAUAAAUUGUGAAUUUUACUGUGCUAUAAACAAAAAUUGCCAGGUUUUAAGAUUAAUUCAGAGCUAAUUUUUACAAUGAAAAUUUAUCCCAAAUUAACACAGAAACAAAAAGCCCUAUUUCUGUAGAAACAGAUAAAAUUCUAACAUUUUAAAUUUUAUGCAAAAUUACCAAUCUUUCUGUUCACAUUAAUAUUUGUUGCUACACUCUUUUAAUUGUACUUUUUUCUGCCCAUUUCCAUAAGCCUAAUCCUUACCUUUGCAAAUUCUGGAGGUGGACUUUUCCCUCUACAGAGAUUAGACAAAGCCCAUACUGCAUUCCGUGUCAUGGUCAGGCGGUUUUGCUUUGAAAAUAACCUAUAAGCAUGAUGAUACAAUGAUUUCUAGAACACUCCUGUGAUGAAUCAUGGCUUGUCAUGGUGGUAAAACUGAGGCCCUGAAUGUAAGACCAAAGGAAAAAACGGUAUUCUUUGACCUGCUUUUCUUUGCUUCAUUUUUUUACCUGCUCCUGGACAUCUUCAAACUCUGAGCUGAGCAACUCUAUGAAGAUGGGCACAGCUCCUGCCUGAAUCACAAUCCGGGUCUGAAGAGAAUUUCCUGAAGCAAUAUUUGUCAGUACCCAAGCUGAUUCAAACUAUAAAGAUAAAAAUAAUUUUAUUAUCUUAUUAGCAUUUAAUAGCUUGUUUUUAGCUAUAACAAUAAGGUUUUCUGUACAUGAAGAAAAGAAUCUGAAAUCAUUAUUUGCACAUAAUCAGAUGGAUUCUGUAUUACUUUUAAAUGGAGAAUUCCAGUAGAAAUACUUCAGACUACAAGAAUAUUCAGGAGGUCAAAGUAGAACUGACAUAAGACCAUGAAUGGAAUGAGGGACUGCUUCAUAUGCUGACAUGAAUGAUCUCCCAAGAUACGAAUGAGAAGAAAAGUGUAACGGUGUAUAUUAAGACAGUAUCAUACUAUAUUUUCUAAAAGGGUUAAGAAGGAAUAUAUGCAUUAGUUUAGUUAUUGCACAGAAUAUCUCUGGAAGGAUACUAUAAGAAACUGUAAGAAGUAAGUACUUGUUACCUACAUGGAAAGGCAGGGGUGAAAGGGAAAUCUCAUAAAACCUUAUGUACCUUUUGGAUUAAACCAUGUAUAUUAUCUAACAAAAAAUAAAAGUAAAUAAUUUCUAUAGGAUAAGCAAAGUGUAAAGGGGAGAGGAUGUUAAUGUAAAAUGUGCCAGAUAUAGGCACAGUAAAAAAGGCAAAAGAUAUUUUAAGUAAUAAGUAGGCCAAAAGGAGUUAACUGGUAUACAAUUAAUAGAAAUGGCAACUUCAGAGCGUUAAGAGCUUCUGACAAAUGAGAAGCCUCCAAACAAAGGCACAGAGUUUAAAACUUUUUUUAGAGAGCAUUCUUAAAGUUAGGUAAACUGAAGAUAUGAAGGAAAUUAUAGCCAACAAAAAGUACAGCAUUUUACUAAUCUGCCCAUCUCUGUAGUAAUUUGACUCUCUGGCCUAAUAUGGAGAAAUCCAAGAAUGACUCCUGAAAUUCUAUUUAAGAGUUCUUAUUAAACUUUAGUUUUCUUUCCUUCUCCUGUUCUGUCUUCUACUUAUCCUUAAAUGAAGCACAUAUGCAAAAAAAAAAAAUCAGUGGUAUGUCCCUUGAAAGGGAGAGCAAAAAAGUCAUUGAAAGGUGGAGCUGUGACUCUUCUAAAGCUUUUGGGUCAACUGAAAGGCAGUUGUCAUAUGGAAAACUAAAUCAUCCAUCAUUGGGGUUUGGGGAAGGAGGCAGAAGACAAGGAAGACAAUCUGAUUGGCAUAGUCCAAAGCCAUGUGAAUGCUAGCAAAUUCACAGCAGAACACACUUAAAGGAGACAUUACAAGAAACCUAUAAAUGUGACAUACGCAAGUGAGACACAGUAUAGUCUAGUAGCCUAACGGGACAAUGAUAUUACAGUAAGCAGAAGGCCCAGACUAGGAGCACCACAGUUAAAGGGACAAUAUUUUCUUUUUGGUAACUUUGUUAUAAGAGAAGUUCAACAGAUUCCUAAACACUUGAACAUCACAAAAUAAAAAUCCCAUCAUAUAUCAUCACCUCCAUAAUUAAAUCACUCUUGAAACCAGUGCUGAAUUGAAACUUUGCAUUUGUUCAGUACUUUGUAUUAUGAAAGCAUUACUCACAUACUCCUGUGUUCCUCACAACAUCCCAGAGAAUUCUGGCUUUUGUGGUUUAUGAAUGAGAAAACUAUCAGAAAAAGGUCCAACAAUCUAAUGAUCUGCGUAAUGUUACACAGCCAUUCAAAGAGGACUUGAUUACUGUCUCCUGAUCAAGUAUGCUUAUGAAGCCCGGCCACUCCCUUCUCUCUGACACAUAACUGUAACACUGACAAUAAUCUUUCAAUUGCUUGGAGUUUUGGUAUCUAGGGCAAGAAAUUUCAAAUAACAGUAUGCCAGAGAUACACGCCAGAUUAUUUAGGGGAUGCUAAAAAAGAGAACGGUUCACCUAGUUUCUUCUGCUUUCUAGGAAAACUAACUAGCAGAGUUAAAAUUGAUUAAGAGAGACAGAUGAUGUGAAUACAAAAGCCAAAAGCAAGCCUUCCUACCAGGCAGCAAGCUCCAAGUUUAACAAAGAGUUGUCAGAUACCACGGAGACCAGUCAAAGUAAUGAAAACUGUGAGGAAAAAGCAGUGUGUAGAGAAUGAGUAAGAUCAGCAUACAUACCGAUCCAUAUUAAAGAGAAAACAGACUGCAGUGAGAUUUUGAUGCAAAUGAAAUAACAGCAACCUAAGUAAAGGAUUAUUAAAGAAUUAUCAAUGAGAAAAAAAUCAGAAUACUAACUGCUGCAAAACUUCAAACUGCUAUCUGCCUGUUGAUGUUUAGUAUCAAAGGUCUUACAAGAAAUGAGAGGGAAUUUCAGAUGCUACUGAAGAGAAUGAAAUGGAGAAGCAAAACAAAAUAGAGUGAAAAUGAUUAGAAAAAUGGGGAAUAAGUGAAUAACAGGCUAAACACAGAUGGGAGAAAAUUGGCAAUUAGGAUAUCUCAGCAAAAGAAGAACGUACCAGAAUUACCUUUAUUACUAAGAAGUACACAAUAAUGAUAACCUCUGAAAGCAAAAUUCAAGGCCUCCCUUGGUAAGAAGAGAAAUCGGAAAAUACCAGGGACAGAGACAGAUGAAGAUGAUCAACAGAACCAGAGGGGCGACUGAAAAUUGUGUUUGUACAUGAAUAAAGCAUUCUCUCUCUCUC